CAGCCUUGGGGGCAUGACAUGGAUUGUCACUGAACUGAUGCUCAGAUGAGAUACAGGGAUUUGUAUCUGUCUCUAGUCUUUCAUUAUACAUAACCAUUUCCUCAGACUCAGGUCCGUACAGUGACCUGGUGUGUUUGCAUUGUCCAGUGCUGCUCACAUCCCCCUCCAGGCUGUUCCCCUCCACAUAGGUACCAUCCUGACCUUCUACAUAGGAGUCAUCCUUGGGACAAUAAGUACCAUCCUCACAUUCCACGUAGGUUCCGUCUUGGUGUUCCACGUAGGUUCUGUCUUGGUGUUCCGCGUAGGUUCUGUCUUGGUGUUCCACGUAGGUCCUGUCUUGGUGUUCCGUGUAGGUUCUGUCUUGGUGUUCCGCGUAGGUUCUGUCUUGGUGUUCUGCGUAGGUUCUGUCUUGGUGUUCCACAUAGAUGCCAUCCUCACUAUCUACAUAACUUCCAUCCUGAGGCUCAGGAUAGUGUUUGUAGUACCUCACCUGCAUACUCUGGUCUUCCACCUGUAGUACCUGAUCAAUGUCUUGCUCCACACCCUCCACGUCCGAACCCACGUUGUCAUACUCUGAGCAGCUGUCCUCCUCCUCCUCUUCCUCCUCAUCCAUGCUGUCAGGGAUGAUGGUGUCACCGGGCUGGUUCAGCGGGGGCUCAGAGGAGACACUCGCUGUAGCAGGGACAGGAAGAGGUGAACCGGAGGGACUAAUCAGAUACGG
Molecule: long non-coding RNA, 721 nt
Organism: Oncorhynchus tshawytscha (Chinook salmon)
Lineage: Eukaryota; Metazoa; Chordata; Actinopteri; Salmoniformes; Salmonidae
Source: Ensembl